AACGAACGCUGGCGGCAGGCUUAACACAUGCAAGUCGAACGCCCCGCAAGGGGAGUGGCAGACGGGUGAGUAACGCGUGGGAAUCUACCCAUCCCUACGGAACAACUCCGGGAAACUGGAGCUAAUACCGUAUACGCCCUUAGGGGGAAAGAUUUAUCGGGGAUGGAUGAGCCCGCGUUGGAUUAGCUAGUUGGUGGGGUAAAGGCCUACCAAGGCGACGAUCCAUAGCUGGUCUGAGAGGAUGAUCAGCCACAUUGGGACUGAGACACGGCCCAAACUCCUACGGUAGGCAGCCGGGAGGAAUAUUGGACAAUGGGCGUAACCCUGAUCAAGCCAUGCCGCAUGAGUGAUGAAGGCCUUAGGGUUGUAAAGCUCUUUCACCGAUGAAGAUAAUGACGGUAGUCGGAGAAGAAGCCCCGGCUAACUUCGUGCCAGACGCCGCCGUAA
RNAcentral lists this ribosomal RNA (447 nucleotides) under uncultured bacterium. Its description in RNAcentral is "partial 16S ribosomal RNA". It matches the Rfam family "Bacterial small subunit ribosomal RNA", at positions 29 to 523 of the family's 1533-position model. The record is from RNAcentral.